RNAcentral lists this ribosomal RNA (460 nucleotides) under uncultured bacterium. RNAcentral's name for it is "partial 16S ribosomal RNA". It matches the Rfam family "Bacterial small subunit ribosomal RNA", at positions 338 to 795 of the family's 1533-position model. The record is from RNAcentral.
CCUACGGGGAGCAGCAGUGAGGAAUAUUGGUCAAUGGGCGAAAGUCUGAACCAGCCAAGUAGCGUGAAGGAUGACUGCCCUCUGGGUUGUAAACUUCUUUUAUAUGGGAAUAAACUGUUCCACGUGUGGGAUUUUGUAUGUACCGUAUGAAUAAGGAUCGGCUAACUCCGUGCCAGCAGCCGCGGUAAUACGGAGGAUCCGAGCGUUAUCCGGAUUUAUUGGGUUUAAAGGGAGCGUAGGUGGAUUGUUAAGUCAGUUGUGAAAGUUUGCGGCUCAACCGUAACAUUGCAGUUGAAACUGGCAGUCUUGAGUACAGUAGAGGUGGGCGGAAUUCGUGGUGUAGCGGUGAAAUGCUUAGAUAUCACGAAGAACUCCGAUUGCGAAGGCAGCUUACUGGACUGCAACUGACACUGAGGCUCGAAAGUGUGGGUAUCAAACAGGAUUAGAUACCCGGGUAGUC